AUGAGUUUUGAUCCUGGCUCAGGACGAACGCUGGCGGCGUUCCUAAUACAUGCAAGUCGAGCGGACAGAUGGGAGCUUGCUCCCUGAUGUUAGCGGCGGACGGGUGAGUAACACGUGGGUAACCUGCCUGUAAGACUGGGAUAACUCCGGGAAACCGGGGCUAAUACCGGAUGCUUGAUUGAACCGCAUGGUUCAAUUAUAAAAGGUGGCUUUUAGCUACCACUUACAGAUGGACCCGCGGCGCAUUAGCUAGUUGGUGAGGUAACGGCUCACCAAGGCAACGAUGCGUAGCCGACCUGAGAGGGUGAUCGGCCACACUGGGACUGAGACACGGCCCAGACUCCUACGGGAGGCAGCAGUAGGGAAUCUUCCGCAAUGGACGAAAGUCUGACGGAGCAACGCCGCGUGAGUGAUGAAGGUUUUCGGAUCGUAAAACUCUGUUGUUAGGGAAGAACAAGUACCGUUCGAAUAGGGCGGUACCUUGACGGUACCUAACCAGAAAGCCACGGCUAACUACGUGCCAGCAGCCGCGGUAAUACGUAGGUGGCAAGCGUUGUCCGGAAUUAUUGGGCGUAAAGCGCGCGCAGGCGGUUUCUUAAGUCUGAUGUGAAAGCCCCCGGCUCAACCGGGGAGGGUCUAUUGG
This 643-nucleotide ribosomal RNA is filed under the name Bacillus haynesii. RNAcentral's name for it is "bacterial SSU rRNA". It matches the Rfam family "Bacterial small subunit ribosomal RNA", at positions 1 to 629 of the family's 1533-position model. The record is from RNAcentral. Lineage: Bacteria; Bacillati; Bacillota; Bacilli; Caryophanales; Bacillaceae.